This 253-nucleotide ribosomal RNA is filed under the name uncultured bacterium. Its description in RNAcentral is "partial 16S ribosomal RNA". It matches the Rfam family "Bacterial small subunit ribosomal RNA", at positions 524 to 776 of the family's 1533-position model. The record is from RNAcentral.
UACAGAGGGUGCGAGCGUUAAUCGGAAUUACUGGGCGUAAAGCGCGCGUAGGCGGCUUUGCAAGUCGGGUGUGAAAUCCCCAGGCUUAACCUGGGAACUGCGCUUGAGACGGGAUGGCUAGAGAUCGGGAGAGGAGAGUGGAAUUCCCAGUGUAGAGGUGAAAUUCGUAGAUAUUGGGAAGAACACCGGUGGCGAAGGCGGCUCUCUGGACCGAUACUGACGCUGAGGCGCGAAAGCGUGGGGAGCAAACAGG